Molecule: long non-coding RNA, 2210 nt
Filed under: Homo sapiens (human)
Lineage: Eukaryota; Metazoa; Chordata; Mammalia; Primates; Hominidae
Description: long non-coding RNA NONHSAT248985
Source: RNAcentral
CCCCUAUUACAGUAUAAACUUUUGGUGAAUAGGGAUUUUCAAAUUAAUUAAAGCGCUUAUUUUUAUACCCAAUACACACAAAUACAGAACUUUACUAUAGCAGAUUUUUGACCCCAAUUUAGUGUGCUAUCUGAAUAAAAGGCUUAGUAACUAAAAAAAGUGCUGUCUUAGAUUUCUGAACUAUUUUUUUUUUUUUUUUUUUUUUUUGGAGACAGAGUCUUGCUCUGUCACCCACACCAGAAUGCAGUGGCACCAUCAUGGCUCCCUGCAGCUUUGACCUCCUGGGUUCAAACGAUUUUCUCAUCUCAGCCUCCCCAGUAGCUGGGACUACAGAUGCGCACCACCACACCUGGCUAAUGUUAAUUUUCUGUGGAGACAGGGUCUUGUCAUGUUGCCCAGACUGGUCUUGAACUCCGGAGCUCAAGCGAUCCUCUUGCCUCGGCCUUCCAACAUGCUGGGAUUACAGGCGUGAGCCAGCAUGCCUGGCUGAAACUAUUUUUACAGAGAACUUAGGUGGUGAUAUGGUUUGGCUCUGUCCCCACCCAAAUCUCAUCUUGAAUUAUAGCUCCCAUAAUCCCCACCUGUCACGGGAGGGACCUGAUGGGAGGUAAUUGAAUCAUGGGGGUGGGUUUUCCCAUGCUGUUCUUGUCCAUAGUGAGUAUGUCUCGGAAGAGCUAAUGGUUUUAUAAAAGGGAGUUCCCCUGUGCAAGCUCUCUUGCCUGCUGCCAUAUAAGAUGUGCCUUUUCUCCUCCUUUGCUGUCCACCAUGAUUGUGAGGCCUCCCCAGGCAUGUGAGACUGAGUCCAUUCAACUUCUUUUUCUUUAUAAAUUACCCAGUCUCAGGCAUGUCCUUCUAGCAGUGUGAGAAUGGACUAAUACAGAUGGCCUUAUCCUGUUUUUCCACAGAGCUAUCUGAGGUACUAUAUAAUCAUCAAAAAGAAUAAGGCAAUUCUAUAGGUAUUAAUGUAGGAUUAGAGCUAAAAUACUAUGCUGAGAAAAAAGUAAGCUACAACAGUUUGUUUCCAUCUAUUAAAAAUGAGGAUGGGGAUAUAUAUGUAUGUAUGAGUAAAUGAUUGGACAGCUUAAAUUAUUUUUGAGAGAAUAUUCAAUAAAACAGUAAAAAUAGCUGUUUCUGGGAAAGGAAAAUGGGUAAUUAGGGCUACAGCUGGAAAAAAGUAACAUUUUACUUCUAGUUGUUUUUUUUUUUUUUUUUUUUUUUUUUUUUUUUUUUUUUUACAAAUCACCUAUAUGUAUUAGCUUUCAAAAGAUUUAAAAAUUAAAAAUACUAGAUUGUCAGCGUCUGAAGUGAUAAAAUACUUUAUGCUGGUGCCUCCUCAGUAACAGACAUUCAAAACUACAGUCAGCCCUCAGUGUUCAUGUGGUCUGAAUCCAACCACAGAUAGAAAAUAUUUGAAAAAACUUUUUUUGGUGGGGCACAGUGGCUCACACCUGUCAUCCUAGCACUUUGGGAGGCUGAGGUGGAGGACUGCUUGAGCCCAGGAGGUUGAGGCUGCAAUGAGCUGUGACUGUGCCUCUGCACUGUAGCCUGGUGACAGAGUGAGACCCUGUCUCAAAUAAACAAUGUUUAAAACACAGACACACACGGUAUAACAGCUAUUUAUGCAGCAUUUAUGUUGUGCUAGGUAUCUGUAACCUGGAGAUGAUUUAAAGGGUAAGGAAAGAUGUGUGCAGGUUCUAUGCAAAUAUUAUACCACUGUAUAGCAGGGACUUGAGCAUCUGUGAAUUUUGUAUCCUCAGGGGUGGGGGGAGGGGGUCCUGGAACCAAUCUCCCUUGGAUACCAAGGGACGACUGCACUUCACUGACCUUGUUGAAAGCAACUGACAUCACACACACCAAUGAGUGCAUGUAAAAGCAGUAAAAUUGGAAUAGGUUCUGUGGCUAGGGGAAGCUCAACGGUACUUUGUCAGCUGUGAUGCUGCUCUACAGUGAUGGGGGAUGCUACCACUGGGGAAACUGAAGGGCACGCAGGCCUCCCUGUACGUUCUGUUGCAACUUUCUCUGAGUCUGUAAUUAUUUCUAAAUAAAAGGCUAAAACAAAACCACAACUAUGCCAUGUAAAGGCUCACAUGUAAAUCUAUGUUCUAACUAUGGUGCUGCUCUAACCCCCCCAAUCUGAGUCAUGCCUUUCCUUGCCUAUUUCCCCAUCUAUAAUUGAGGGCGGGCGACAGCCUUCCAGAGUAAAUUAAGUC